GACGAACGCUGGCGGUGUGCUUAACACAUGCAAGUCGAACGGAAAGGCCCUGCUUUUGUGGGGUGCUCGAGUGGCGAACGGGUGAGUAACACGUGAGUAACCUGCCCUUGACUUUGGGAUAACUUCAGGAAACUGGGGCUAAUACCGGAUAGGAGCUCCUGCUGCAUGGUGGGGGUUGGAAAGUUUCGGCGGUUGGGGAUGGACUCGCGGCUUAUCAGCUUGUUGGUGGGGUAGUGGCUUACCAAGGCUUUGACGGGUAGCCGGCCUGAGAGGGUGACCGGCCACAUGGGGACUGAGAUACGGCCCAGACUCCUACGGGAGGCAGCAGUGGGGAAUAUGGCACAAUGGGCGGAAGCCUGAUGCAGCAACGCCGCGUGCGGGAUGACGGCCUUCGGGUUGUAAACCGCUUUCGCCUGUGACGAAGCGUGAGUGACGGUAAUGGGUAAAGAAGCACCGGCUAACUACGU
This 467-nucleotide ribosomal RNA is filed under the name uncultured bacterium. RNAcentral describes it as "partial 16S ribosomal RNA". It matches the Rfam family "Bacterial small subunit ribosomal RNA", at positions 28 to 506 of the family's 1533-position model. The record is from RNAcentral.